AUUGAACGCUGGCGGCAGGCCUAACACAUGCAAGUCGAGCGGAUGAAGGGAGCUUGCUCCUGGAUUCAGCGGCGGACGGGUGAGUAAUGCCUAGGAAUCUGCCUGGUAGUGGGGGAUAACGUCCGGAAACGGGCGCUAAUACCGCAUACGUCCUGAGGGAGAAAGUGGGUGAUCUUCGGACCUCACGCUAUCAGAUGAGCCUAGGUCGGAUUAGCUAGUUGGUGGGGUAAAGGCCUACCAAGGGGACGAUCCGUAACUGGUCUGAGAGGAUGAUCAGUCACACUGGAACUGAGACACGGUCCAGACUCCUACGGGAGGCAGCAGAGGGGAAUAUGGGGCAAUGGGCGAAAGCAUGAUCCAGCCAUGGCGAGUGUGUGGAGAAGGUCUUCGGAUUGUAAAGCACUUUAAGUUGGGAGGAAGGGCAGUAAGUUAAUACCUUGCGGUUUUGACGUUACCAACAGAAUAAGCACCGGCUAACUACGUG
Molecule: ribosomal RNA, 484 nt
Filed under: uncultured bacterium
Lineage: Bacteria
Description: partial 16S ribosomal RNA
Rfam family: Bacterial small subunit ribosomal RNA
Source: RNAcentral